GAAGGAACAGAGCAACAAUGCCGUCCUCGUGGUGCGGGAGCCUCCGCCUGUGGAUGAGCAGCAUGGCUUCAUCCCCAAUACAGCCUCUACUGUCAGAAGGAGAACAAUGCAACAAGUGAAGUGCACACAGUGUCAGAUGAGACACUGAACUACCGUUUGACUGAUCUAUCGGGAGUCUAUCAGAUCUAUAUGACAGCUCACACGGUGGCAGGAGAAGAACGAGCCAGUCCACAUCAGUGGGUUACUGUAGGAUAAAGCAGACUAUCUGGCCUCUGGUUCCUGACCCUGCACUCAGCAGUCUGACCUCCUGGAUCUCCAACUCUGAACGCGCAACAGAAAGCUUCUACUCUGAGGAAGUGGAUCACACUUCAACUUCAAAAAUAACAAAUGAACUGCAUAAUGAAGAACACUGUUGAAGCUCAUUGUUUUCCAUUUGGAAAUAUAUGUGCAUCCUCUAAAUAAUUCUAAAUGUAUGAGCAUGCAUAGCUAAAGAAAAGCACAUGGGGAUUCUUGGUGAACCUUUGUCCUUUUGUUUGUUUGUUUUACUUUAUGACCAAAAUAAUAAUAGUUUCAGUGUACAUUUUGUGUUUCUGUGCCAUCACAGACAAUUUGCCUACAGUUCAGGCAAUUUUGUAAUAAUAACAUUUCUCCAUUUUCUAUGUAGUCCCUUGUGUUUUAACUCCGAAUUUCACAUUUAAGGCAGCACUGAAAUGAAUAUGGCAUCCUUUAAAACAAGCUAAGAACACAUUACACUGUUAGUUUAGUUUAGACUUAUCAUUUGUACUGUUGUACAAGGUGAAUACAGGGAAAAGCUUCAUGGACAGUGAAUUCAAAUUUGACUUAGUCCAGAAAGGACCAUCUUUUGCUAAUAUGAUGGCGGUUCUUUGCUGGCCAUGACAACAGACAACUAUACAUUCUGAUAGGAAUAUUUUAUUUUUAUUUAAUGUUUUUUAAUUUUUUUUUUUUUUGCAAAAACAAGUAGUAACUAAGUAAGUAAGACAUCACAGAGACACUGAACAGGUGACAUGAACCAUGCCACAGAGAGCUGCAGGACACACCAAGGAAAAAAAAUCAUGCCUAAAGUCCCCCUCCACUCAAAAAUAGUUUGAUUCUUGUUCCUAAAGUUGGAUGUUUGGGCUUCACUGUGCAGAAUGAAGUAUGUAGUUUGACACUGGAAGUAUUAAGCUAUUUAGUGUUAAGUAUUUUGUAUGCAAAUUAUACAAGUGGUGUACAAUGGGCUUUACAGUAAGACAUCUUGUGUCCAGCAGGAACAUUUUCCAAAUCAACAAAAUUAGCACAUUCACAGAUUCUGGAAUUUUUAAUGAGGUAGAAUGAGUAGAUGUCUUUUUAAGGAUUUUAAUGUAGAAUUUUUUUUUAAAGGAAAAGCAGAUCAGACACACAUUAUUGUUUCAAGCAGACUAUUUUAUAUAUGUCUUAAUACAUGUAUGGAGGGGAUAUUUAAAGAUCAGUGCUAUCAGUGCAGAUUCUUGUCAUUUUCUUAUUACAUUUAAUAACAACUGUAGUCAAGACCUAUUCCCAUCCUUUCCACCCCAGCCUCAGCAGUUUCAAAUGUAUGCCAUUCUCCUCUUAUCUAUGAAAUUACCCAGGAGAUUAGUUUAUGCUCACUCAAACAAACUGAAUUUACGUAGAGCAUAUUCUCAACAUUAACUCAACAAGCCAUCUGCUUGUUGGUGUUAUUUUACUUCACAAAGCUAAACUAGGUUGCUAAAAUAACAAAUAUGAUAUUAAAAGGCAUUCCCUUAUGGAUUAGGACUAUAUUUGUUAAGUUCUUUCUUGCAAAAUGUCUGAAUAAAUCUGGGAAUCUCAACCCUG
Molecule: long non-coding RNA, 1833 nt
Organism: Dicentrarchus labrax (European seabass)
Lineage: Eukaryota; Metazoa; Chordata; Actinopteri; Moronidae
Exons: 3
Source: RefSeq, a predicted model, not a curated record